UAGUUAGAUCUUUAAGGUGCUGUGGA
RNAcentral lists this non-coding RNA (26 nucleotides) under Bombyx mori (domestic silkworm). The record is from RNAcentral. Lineage: Eukaryota; Metazoa; Arthropoda; Insecta; Lepidoptera; Bombycidae.